GCUCUCGUAGUCUAGUCCGGUUAUGACGCCACCCUCUCACGGUGGAGAUCACGGGUUCAAAUCCCGUCGGGAGUA
RNAcentral lists this transfer RNA (75 nucleotides) under Patescibacteria group bacterium. RNAcentral describes it as "tRNA-Glu". It matches the Rfam family "tRNA". From Rfam's summary of the family: Transfer RNA (tRNA) molecules are approximately 80 nucleotides in length. The record is from RNAcentral.